RNAcentral lists this microRNA precursor (92 nucleotides) under Cavia porcellus (domestic guinea pig). RNAcentral describes it as "mir-1284 microRNA precursor family". It matches the Rfam family "mir-1284 microRNA precursor family". Lineage: Eukaryota; Metazoa; Chordata; Mammalia; Rodentia; Caviidae. The record is from Rfam by way of RNAcentral.
UAAACCAGUUUAAUGUUUUUUUGCACAGACCCUGGCUUUUCUUAAAUUUUAUAUAUUGGAAAGCCCGUGUUUGUAUUGGACCUGAUGGUUAC